UACGAAGGGGGCUAGCGUUGCUCGGAAUCACUGGGCGUAAAGGGUGCGUAGGCGGGUCUUUAAGUCAGAGGUGAAAUCCUGGAGCUCAACUCCAGAACUGCCUUUGAUACUGAGGAUCUUGAGUAUGGGAGAGGUGAGUGGAACUGCGAGUGUAGAGGUGAAAUUCGUAGAUAUUCGCAAGAACACCAGUGGCGAAGGCGGCUCACUGGCCCAUUACUGACGCUGAGGCACGAAAGCGUGUGGAGCAAACAGG
RNAcentral lists this ribosomal RNA (253 nucleotides) under uncultured bacterium. RNAcentral describes it as "partial 16S ribosomal RNA". It matches the Rfam family "Bacterial small subunit ribosomal RNA", at positions 524 to 776 of the family's 1533-position model. The record is from RNAcentral.